Molecule: non-coding RNA, 4547 nt
Organism: Taeniopygia guttata (zebra finch)
Lineage: Eukaryota; Metazoa; Chordata; Aves; Passeriformes; Estrildidae
Source: RefSeq, a predicted model, not a curated record
GCCUGAGAGCCUUUUAAAUUUGAAAUUGUGGUAAUUUGGAGGGAGAGGGUUUACGUUUUCCAUUUCACAGGAGGCUUUUGCCUUCCUUCACAGACUCCUGUCUUUUCAAACCAAGACAGGAGCUGAUGUCUUUCCUACAAUUUGCAGACAGGCUGUCUGCCUCUGUUGAGAAGAAGGUGGGAGAUCCUGAGGCAAGAAAGCUUUUGCUUAAACACGUUGCCAGAAGUAACUGCAAUGCUGAUUUCAAUGCCGAUUGUAGGAGAAUCAUAGAGGCUCUUCCUGGUGAUCCUUCUGUCCCUCAGAUAGCAGAGGCUUGUGCAAAGGUAGGCACCUCAGGUUGUAGGAUAGCUGCCUCAGCUGCUACGCUGCAGCCCGCCCUGGCUGCCCCUGUGCAGCCUGCCAUGGCUACUGCUGUGCAGUCAGUCUGGACAGUGCCACAGGGUGGGCAGCAGCAGCAGGGAUAUGCUCAGGCCAGCAAGAAAGGAAAAAAGAAGGUACAGCAGGGCACAACUCCCUUGUUUUUGUGUGGUCAGUGUGGAAGGCCCAACCAUACUGCAAAUGUCUGCAAGGUGACUGUUCAUGCUAAUGGCCAGGCUUUGCUGGGCUCGGGAAACAGGAAUCAGAGCGUGAAGGGGGCACGUACCCAGACACAAGCUUCUCUCAACAACCCAGAUCCGAUGGAGGUCUGCUAGCUGGCUUGCAGCCAGCACCCGAGGUUCAGCAGGUGUUGAUGUCUGCACAGCAGCAACAGUUGUCAUAGAUUCUGGCAAAAUCCAUAAGGUUCCCUUGGUGCUAUUGCUCCAUUGGGUGAGGGCAUGAUUGCUCUCCUUGUGGGGAGAUCUAGUGCCACCCUUCAGGGCAUCAUUGUGCAAGUGGGAUUUAAUUGAUGCAGAUUUCAUGGCACAGAUUUUUGCCAUGGUCUCUACGCCCACCCCCCCCGUCACUAUCCCGAAGGGGACACAAAUUGCUCAAUUUGUGCCUUUUAAGUCUUCUGUUCGCAGGACAGCUGAUCAGUUGCAAGGUGACAGCGGCUUUGGAUCCACUGGGUCACCUCAAGUUCACUGGUCUGCCAUCCUGACCGAGAAAUGUCCCAGGAUGCUGUGUAUUCUGUCCAUCCCUGGCGCGACACUGCCAGAGAUUUGUCUCCACAGGCUUCUUGACAGUGGCGUGGACAUCACAGUUCUCACCCUUCCCACCUGGUCCCCGGAAUGGCCCUUGGAUCCUAUGGGAUUGGGAGGAACAGCAUGCUGCUAUGUGAGCCAGCAGCCUGUGCUGAUCGCAAACCCAGAGGGACAGACGGCCAUGAUUCGGCCUCACAUUACUUCAGUGAGCUUUAACCUCUGGGGAAGGGUUGUUCUGUCCACUAGGGGGUGCACAUCGGGACGGAUUUUUUGAUGGGGACCACUGUGAUGAAGAGCGCAGAGUGUCCUACACUUCCUUUACGGUGGCUGGUGGACAGACCCGUCUGAGAGAACCAGUGGCCCCUCCCUCAAGACAAAUUAGUCCCCCUUCGAAACCUGGUGCAGGGCCAGUUGGACCAGGGUCAUCUGCAGCCUUCUACCAGUCCCUGGAGCACUCCUCUCUUCUGCAUCAAGAAGAAAUCUGGGAAAUGGAGGUUGUUACAUACCUCUGAAAGGUUUCCAAGAGGACACAGCUGGGGUUUCCACUGGACCAACUGCACCUUUUCUACAGGACUACUGCUCCAACAGAACCACAUCUGCCAUUCCAAGAGGACUGCAGCCACUCCAAUUUGGACUGCUACCAACAUGCUGGCCAAAGUGGUGUCAGGUUUUAUUCUGACUUUGUCGGUGGUCUGCCUUUUGUAUCAUUGCAUGUAUUUUGUCUCUUUUCCCUUUUCCCAGUAAAUUGUAUUUCUGACUUGGAGUCUCUCAGCAUGGCUUUUUCCGUCAGAGUGCUCAUACCUUGCAGAAGCAGUUUCAGCUGAUGGCAAAUGAGACUCAUCGAGUCGUGUGAUGGCUGUCACGUGCUUGCUGCACCUCUGCCUGCAGGGGUAAACCCCAGAGGCCUUCGGGCCUUGGAGCUUUGGCAGACCGAUGUCACCCAGAUUGCCGAGUUUGGCUGGCUCAAGUAUGUGCAUGUCACGGUGGACACGUUCUCCUCUGCGAUGUGGGCUUCCGCUCACACUGGAGAAAAGGCUCGUGAUGUCAUUGCCCACUGGAGGCAGGCCUUUGCCAUUCUGGGCAUACCUUCUGCUGUGAAAACCGACAAUGGUCCUGCUUAUGCAUCGCAGCAGGUGCGGCAGUUCCUGCAGUUGUGGGGUGUGUCACACAAGUUUGGUGUCCCCCAUUCUCCAACUGGCCAAGCUAUUGUAGAACGCUCUCAUGGUACUCUGAAGCGGGUUCUUCAAAAACAAAAACGGGGAAUGCAGGGUGAGACCCUACACAGUGGGUUGGCAAAAGCUUUGUCAUCAAACAUCCUACGGUGCAGCAGAAUUCAAAUAACCCUGUCAUUUUGAAUCAUCACCUUUUGUUGCAGUCUCUGGACGAGACACAUCAGCCUCGAGCGAAGGUUCGGGUGUGGAAUUUAGUCACCAAACAAUUGGAAGAUCCCUAUGAACUUAUCACUUUGGAAUGUGAGUAUGCAUGCAUAUCCACAGAUACCAGGGUACGCUGGGUACCUUCGAAGUGUGUUCGUCCUGACCAGUGACCCCAGAGACAGCAUCCGGCUGACAUGCAGAAUGGAAACUGUGACCAAACUGGAAGUCAUCAAGUGGGUGGACCAUUGAGUGAUUACUCAGAUGCAGACGACGCGAGUGAUCACUCCAAUGAUUCCUCCAUGAGUGGACACUGAACAUUGUUCAUUUUUCUUUUUAACAUUGUUAAAUUUUCCCUUUCGAUAAUGUUCAUUUUUUUUUUUUUUUCUUUUUUGACAGAAAAAGGGUGAGAUGUUGACCUGAUUUUUAAAAGUGUUUUAUAGUUCUUUUGAAAGUUGUAAAGUUCUCAUAAAACUUCUUUAGCCUUCUGGUAAUGUUUACUGUUGUGGUUUGACAUGGAAGUGAAUUUUCUCAGGAAGAAGAGGGUCAAACCAAUCAGUAGUCAGUUUUGGAUAUUGGCACCUGAAGUGACCACUGAAGGCAUGGGCACACCUCUGAGAACACAGGGAUUAAAAGCAAGAACUCCAGGAGAACUGUCUCUUUGGAGAGUGCAGACUCUCCCCCGCCCCCCACGGGCUAGGAGAGGUGUGCCAGGGGGUGAAGGGACUGGAACCGAGCUAGGCCGGCUCCUUUGGACAGAAGGGUGGAGGAAACCUGAGAUGUCUUUGUUCCCCACGCCCCCACACCACCAGAGGGAAACAGACAGAGAGCCUGAAGGCACCUGGAAAUUCACUGGCAGAGGAGAAGGAGAAAGGGUGGGGGGAAGGUGCCCAGCCCUGGGAGUUGGGGUCUGGGCUGAGAUUUCAGCAGUCAGGGCAGUCCAAGACUUUUAACCCUUUCCUGGGAAAUUAAAGCUUUGUGAAAUAUUACUCCUCCUCACCUUGAAAGAGAAAAGAGACAGUCUGGGACCUGAGAUGUUAGGGAAAGAAAGUUGGGGAGGAGAUGAUGGAGUGGCUUUUGGCUGGACUCUUCUUGUAAGCCAUUGACUGAGCCAAUUUCUCCUGCAACAGAGACUGCAUCUUUAGGGGGAUGCAAUGGUGAGCCAAGAGACCUUCUUCAGCAAAUUCCAGCACAGGAAUGGAGUGAACAGAGGAAAGCUGAGGAGGGUGUGGUGAUGCCCUCUGUCUUCAGGAAGAAGAAGAUCUCUGUUUGCACCCUCAGCCCCAGGGGAGGAGGAAAUUGGGGAGGACCGUGGUCCCAAAACGAAAAUUGAACUGUUGUUUCUUUUGUUCCUUGGCAAAGCAUCCUUAAAGGAGCCCUAUGAGCAGUCUGUCCAUGCACGGCGGUGAGGGCACUGUGACAUGCAGAGGAGAGUGUCACACUGGCAGAUUUUCUCUGGGCAGUGCCAUGUGUGACAUGGAAACACGAGAGGUGGCAAUUGUGUUUCCUGUGGGUCUGUGGUGCAAGAGAGACUCCUCUCUCCCCUGAUAGACUGAGUAUUGAUUAUCUGAAAGGUGAUGACCUGAUUGAGGGUCCAAGUUGUGUCCCGCUGUGAUUUGUUGGAGUUUGGGUGGGGGGAGGAGGAAUGUUCUGGAAGGUUUUAAUUCUGGAUUUAGUGUGUGUCUUUUAUUAUAGGAGUAGCUUAAUAAAGAUCUUUCUCCCUUAUGUCUAAGCUUGGGCCUGCUCUGCUCUGUUCCUUACCACAAUUCACAGCACUUAUUUGGGAAGCUGGAUUUGCAUGGGGGCGCUGGCAUUGUGCCAGUGUGAAACAUUGACAUUUACAUAUUCGAGAGUCAGAGUUCCCACGCAACUUCAUGUAAAAGUAAAAUAGUUUACAGAUUUCUCUGUGGGUGGAGAGAAAUGAUUGAUUGAUCUUUGGACCACUGUGGUUGGAGAGGUGGUGAUUCCUUCCUCCAAUCCACGGUCACCUUUGGAAUUCUAUAAAUACCAGAUGUUCUAAUAAAACUUUCUCUUUUUUUCUCCUUUGACCUUA